This is a small nucleolar RNA of Ochotona princeps (American pika), 137 nucleotides long. NCBI's taxonomy places the organism in Eukaryota, Metazoa, Chordata, Mammalia, Lagomorpha, Ochotonidae. The record is from Ensembl.
CACCUCCCCAGAUUGCCUCUCGAGAGUGACCAGUGCUCCGUCAGCUUUGGAGGUGGAAAGGGGACAAAGCCACAGAGCUGGUCAUUCCAUUCUCAGCUUGCCACAGACCAGCAACUGGAAGACACUCUGACAUAGUG